GUGUUGGCUUCGGCAACACAGAUCUUACAAUUGGAACGGCACAGAUGGGACCAGCAUGGCCCCUGCUCAAGGCAAGUAAAUUCCUGAAGUGUUCCAUGUUUGU
Molecule: small nuclear RNA, 103 nt
Organism: Onychomys torridus (southern grasshopper mouse)
Lineage: Eukaryota; Metazoa; Chordata; Mammalia; Rodentia; Cricetidae
Source: RefSeq, a predicted model, not a curated record